Long non-coding RNA from Schistocerca nitens (vagrant locust), 1852 nucleotides. RefSeq lists it as uncharacterized. Lineage: Eukaryota; Metazoa; Arthropoda; Insecta; Orthoptera; Acrididae. The transcript is spliced from 3 exons. The record is from RefSeq and is a predicted model, not a curated record.
UGAGAAUAAUAACCCUCCAGAUUUAAAACGUAAACUGUCACCUGUAGUCAUUGUUACGAUUUCAGGUAAAAUCCCUUUUAUUUUCAUGUUGGCUGUGCGUGCUCACACAGCCAGUCCCUUCGUUUAUAUCUUUAAUAUUCAUUUGUCUGCAAGCGCUGCCAACGUAGGCUACCCGUAGACGCGAAGUAUAGCUGCACAAAUAGUCACGAGUAAUGUCAGCACUGCACGUAGCAGCUGACGCUGCCUUCCCCUCGCCCCUCACCACCCAACCCGUCGUAAACCUAUCGUUCCCCACAAACUCCGCGCGAUUCGUCGACAGGCAACAGAGGGAGGACUGAAGUGAAGUGAGUGACGUAGCACCGAUGUAGUGGGAGAGGGGAAGAGAGUGAGUGAACUAGAAAAAAGUGUGGAGUGUGCUAUCUGUGACGAGUUUGAAGUACCAGUUCAUUGAAAUUGAGUGGUUAGUUCACACUUCACUGAAGUGAAGCGUUCAUUUGAACGACUCAUUCACGAGCUCCCCAUCACUAGGUAUUACACUGUCAUCAAAUUUUUCGUCCAAGUUCAAGAUGGCUGACAACAACUUGUUAUUAACCGCAGCAGUUGUACGAACCCCAAUUGCAUUGUGUGCACAUGCGGAAAAGAAGUGGGGGAAAAAUGGACCCAUACAUACGAGGUUGACAGUCUUAAAAGUCCUGGGAUUACAACUUGAUAAUAAAUUCAGUUGGGAGGAGCACACCACAGAACUGCAGAAAGGCCUUAGCAAAUCUGUAUUUGCAAUUCGAGUGUUAGCAGACAUAGGCAACAUAAAAAUGAAAAAAAAGCUUCAUUCCAUAAUGUCAUAUUGGAUAAUAUUUUGGGGUAAAUCUUGAAGUCAAACAAAAGUUUUCAGAGUCCAAAAGCGUGUAAUACGUAUUAUUUGUGGAGUAAAUUCAUGGACGUCCUACAGAUCCCUCUUCAAAGAACUGGACAUACUAACUACUGCCUCUCAGUAUAUUUAGUUCUUAAUGAAAUUUGUCGUAAAUAAUGUAUCUCUUUUUCCAACAAACAACUCAGUUCAUACAUACAAUACCAGGAACAAAAAUGAUCUGCACAAGGACUUAAAAGCACUUACUAUAGUUCAAAAAGGGGUCCACUACUCAGGAACACUCAUCUUCAAUAAUUUGCCAGGAAACAUAAAAAAUUUAGUUAGAAAUAAAGAUCAGUUUAAAAGGAGCCUGAAAAACUUACUACUGGCCAACUCCUUCUAGUCCAAAGGAUUGCCAAACAAAGUUUUACAACAUGAGGAACAUGAAUGUUCAGAAUAGAAAAUGGAAAGAGAGUAUGAGAAGCGGAGUUGGAACAGAUGAUGUGUAUACGCCUGCUUUGUGGUACUUUCACAGAUAAAAAUUUCUGGAAGAACACUACAUUCCUCGCAAUAGCGUGGCAACACCAUUAUCGUCGUCAUCCUCACCAUCAACUGAACAGUUGUAUUUUUCAGAUGGAUGAAAGCUCAGUCGAUAAUAAUGCUGUGUGAGCUUCCACACAUGACAUGAUGGUGGAGAAUGAUAUAGAUUUCAGUGAAGAAACUGAAGUAAUAGCUGAAGUAUCUUCGCCAGUAACUACAUUGAGUAUAGGACAGAGUGGUGCAGCAAGUAAUUCUUCACCAAAAAGAAGGACAUGGAGUGAGGAAUUAAUAGCUGAAAGAUUACGGACUAAUAGUGAUGAUGUUGACAUAUUUGUGAAAUAUUUGUCCACUGAGAUGAAGGCCAUUAGAAGCCACAAAACAAGAAUGUUAGUUAAACAACAAAUUCUCCAACUUGUGUAUGAGGCUGUUCUCAAUCAAUAAAUGGUAUCUAAUCAUUUUUUCAUGGAA